This 209-nucleotide long non-coding RNA is filed under the name Elaeis guineensis (African oil palm). RNAcentral's name for it is "long non-coding RNA (EGUI_LNC006148)". The record is from RNAcentral. Lineage: Eukaryota; Viridiplantae; Streptophyta; Magnoliopsida; Arecales; Arecaceae.
CCUGUGGUCAAAUUAUGACUUCUUAUAUAGGAUGUCAUAAAUUUUCUUGUAGAAGUCAUAAAGAAGAAAAGAUUUUUUUAUCAUUGAAAAUUUAUAAAAUUUUUAAAUGAUAAAAAUGCCCCUCCCUUCUUUAUGGCAUCCUAUGGUCAAAUUAUGACUUCCUGUGUAAGAAGUCAUAAUUUGACCACAGGAUAUCAUAAUGUGACCAU